RNAcentral lists this ribosomal RNA (418 nucleotides) under uncultured bacterium. RNAcentral's name for it is "bacterial SSU rRNA". It matches the Rfam family "Bacterial small subunit ribosomal RNA", at positions 77 to 507 of the family's 1533-position model. The record is from RNAcentral.
CUUGCUGGAUCUUUCUUAGUGGCGACGGGUGAGUAACACGUUGAGCAACCUGCCCUUCAGAGUGGAAUAAACCGUUUUGGAAACGAACGCUAAAUACCGCAUUAACACCAUUUGGAUGGCAUCAUCUGGUGGUCAAAGAUUUAUCGCUGAGGGAUGGGCUCGCGUCCGAUUAGGUAGUUGGUGAGAUAACAGCCCACCAAGCCGACGAUCGGUAGCCGGACUGAGAGGGUGAUCGGCCACAUUGGGACUGAGACACGGCCCAGACUCCUACGGGAGGCAGCAGUGGGGAAUAUUGCACAAUGGGGGAAACCCUGAUGCAGCAACGCCGCGUGAGUGAUGACGGCCUUCGGGUUGUAAAACUCUGUCUUUAGGGACGAUAAUGACGGUACCUAAGGAGGAAGCCACGGCUAACUACGUG